This 75-nucleotide transfer RNA is filed under the name Escherichia coli. Its description in RNAcentral is "tRNA-Asn". It matches the Rfam family "tRNA". Rfam says of the family: Transfer RNA (tRNA) molecules are approximately 80 nucleotides in length. Their secondary structure includes four short double-helical elements and three loops (D, anti-codon, and T loops). Further hydrogen bonds mediate the characteristic L-shaped molecular structure. tRNAs have two regions of fundamental functional importance: the anti-codon, which is responsible for specific mRNA codon recognition, and the 3' end, to which the tRNAs corresponding amino acid is attached (by aminoacyl-tRNA synthetases). tRNAs cope with the degeneracy of the genetic code in two manners: having more than one tRNA (with a specific anti-codon) for a particular amino acid; and 'wobble' base-pairing, i.e. permitting non-standard base-pairing at the 3rd anti-codon position. Lineage: Bacteria; Pseudomonadati; Pseudomonadota; Gammaproteobacteria; Enterobacterales; Enterobacteriaceae. The record is from RNAcentral. RNAcentral also lists the same sequence under 5 other names.
GAUGGUGUAGCUCAGCGGUAGAGCAGUUGGCUGUUAACCAAUUGGUCGGUGGUUCGAAUCCACCCACCAUCGCCA